CACGCAGGCGGUCUUGCCAGUCAGGGGUGAAAGCCCGAGGCUCAACCUCGGAACUGCCUCUGAUACUGUAAGACUUGAGACUAGGAGAGGGUGGUGGAAUUCCCAGUGUAGAGGUGAAAUUCGUAGAUAUUGGGAGGAACACCAGAGGCGAAGGCGGCCACCUGGACUAGAUCUGACGCUCAGGUGCGAAAGCGUGGGGAGCAAACA
This 207-nucleotide ribosomal RNA is filed under the name uncultured bacterium. RNAcentral's name for it is "partial 16S ribosomal RNA". It matches the Rfam family "Bacterial small subunit ribosomal RNA", at positions 568 to 774 of the family's 1533-position model. The record is from RNAcentral.